GUUAUAAGACGAGUCGGGAAAGUUUUUUCGCUAAGAGAUCAGUCUAUGUCCUAUCAGCUAGUUGGUGAGGUAAUGGCUCACCAAGGCUAUGACGGGUAUCUGGUUUGAGAGGAUGAUCAGACACACUGGAACUGAGACACGGUCCAGACUCCUACGGGAGGCAGCAGUGAGGAAUAUUGCACAAUGGAGGAAACUCUGAUGCAGCAACGCCGCGUGGAGGAUGACGCAUUUCGGUGUGUAAACUCCUUUUAAGAGGGAAGAUAAUGACGGUACCUCUUGAAUAAGCACCGGCUAACUCCGUGCCAGCAGCCGCGGUAAUACGGAGGGUGCAAGCGUUACUCGGAAUCACUGGGCGUAAAGGGUGCGUAGGCUGGCUUCUAAGUCAGAUGUGAAAUCCAAUGGCUUAACCAUUGAACUGCAUUUGAAACUGGGAGCCUAGAGUUCAGAAGGAGCAGAUGGAAUUAGUGGUGUAGGGGUAAAAUCCGUAGAUAUCACUAGGAAUAUCAAAAGCGA
RNAcentral lists this ribosomal RNA (513 nucleotides) under uncultured Campylobacterota bacterium. RNAcentral describes it as "bacterial SSU rRNA". It matches the Rfam family "Bacterial small subunit ribosomal RNA", at positions 185 to 718 of the family's 1533-position model. The record is from RNAcentral. Lineage: Bacteria; Pseudomonadati; Campylobacterota.